ACCUACGGGGCGCAGCAGCCGCGGUAAUACGGAGGAUGCGAGCGUUAUCCGGAUUUAUUGGGUUUAAAGGGUGCGUAGGCGGAAUGCCAAGUCAGCGGUAACAUCGCGGGGCUCAACCUCGCUCCGCCGUUGAAACUGGCGUUCUUGAGUGGGCGAGAAGUAUGCGGAAUGCGUGGUGUAGCGGUGAAAUGCAUAAAUAUCACGCAGAACUCCGAUUGCGAAGGCAGCAUACCGGCGCCCAACUGACGCUGAAGCACGAAAGCGUGGGUAUCGAACAGGGUUAGAUACCCUAGUAGUCCUAAGAU
Molecule: ribosomal RNA, 305 nt
Filed under: uncultured bacterium
Lineage: Bacteria
Description: bacterial SSU rRNA
Rfam family: Bacterial small subunit ribosomal RNA
Source: RNAcentral